Molecule: ribosomal RNA, 600 nt
Filed under: Sphingobacterium yanglingense
Lineage: Bacteria; Pseudomonadati; Bacteroidota; Sphingobacteriia; Sphingobacteriales; Sphingobacteriaceae
Description: bacterial SSU rRNA
Rfam family: Bacterial small subunit ribosomal RNA
Source: RNAcentral
AAGUCGAACGGGAUCCAUUUUUAGCUUGCUAAGGAUGGUGAGAGUGGCGCACGGGUGCGUAACGCGUGAGCAACCUGCCCAUAUCAGGGGGAUAGCCCGAAGAAAUUCGGAUUAACACCGCAUAAGAUUACAGUUCCGCAUGGGACAUUAAUUAAAUAUUUAUAGGAUAUGGAUGGGCUCGCGUGACAUUAGCUAGUUGGUAGGGUAACGGCUUACCAAGGCUACGAUGUCUAGGGGCUCUGAGAGGAGAAUCCCCCACACUGGUACUGAGACACGGACCAGACUCCUACGGGAGGCAGCAGUAAGGAAUAUUGGUCAAUGGAGGGAACUCUGAACCAGCCAUGCCGCGUGCAGGAUGACUGCCCUAUGGGUUGUAAACUGCUUUUGUCGGGGAAUAAACCUCUCUACGAGUAGAGAGCUGAAUGUACCCGAAGAAUAAGGAUCGGCUAACUCCGUGCCAGCAGCCGCGGUAAUACGGAGGAUCCGAGCGUUAUCCGGAUUUAUUGGGUUUAAAGGGUGCGUAGGCGGCCUUAUAAGUCAGGGGUGAAAUACGGCAGCUCAACUGUCGCAGUGCCUUUGAUACUGUAGGGCUUGAAUCUA